RNAcentral lists this ribosomal RNA (868 nucleotides) under uncultured archaeon. Its description in RNAcentral is "bacterial SSU rRNA". It matches the Rfam family "Archaeal small subunit ribosomal RNA", at positions 27 to 898 of the family's 1478-position model. The record is from RNAcentral.
CUGCUAUCGGGGUCCGACUAAGCCAUGCGAGUUGAGAGGGGUAAGCCCUCGGCGAAUUGCUCAGUAACACGCGGACAACCUGCCCUUGGGUCCGGGAUAACCCCGGGAAACUGGGACUAAUACCGGAUAGAUCAAGGAUACUGGAAUGUUCCCUGGUCUAAAACUCCGGUGCCCAAGGAUGGGUCUGCGGCCUAUCAGGUAGUAAUGGGUGUAACGUACCUACUAGCCUACGACGGGUAAGGGUUGUGAGAGCAAGAGCCCUGAGAUGGAUUCUGAGACAUGAAUCCAGGCCCUACGGGGUGCAGCAGGCGCGAAAACUUUACACUGCGGGAAACCGCGAUAAGGGGACCCCGAGUGCCAGCACCUAAGUGCUGGCUGUCCCGCUGUCUAAACAACAGUGGUUAGCAAGGGCCGGGCAAGACCGGUGCCAGCCGCCGCGGUAACACCGGCGGCCCGAGUGGUAGCCGUUAUUAUUGGGUUUAAAGGGUCCGUAGCCGGCCUGUUAAGUCUCUUGGGAAAUCUGGCGACUUAAUCGUCAGGCGUCCAAGAGAUACUGACAGGCUUGGGACCGGGAGAGGUGGGAGGUACUCCAGGGGUAGGGGUGAAAUCUCGUAAUCCUUGGGGGACCACCGAUGGCGAAGGCAUCCCACCAGAACGGGUCCGACGGUGAGGGACGAAAGCUGGGGGCACGAACCGGAUUAGAUACCCGGGUAGUCCCAGCUGUAAACGAUGCUCGCUAGGUGUCAGGUGCGGUGCGACCGCAUCUGGUGCCGCAGUGAAAACUUGAAGCGAGUCACCUGGGAAGUACGGUCGCAAGGCUGAAACUUAAAGGAAUUGGCGGGGGAGCACUACAACGGGUGAGCUCGNC